This 389-nucleotide ribosomal RNA is filed under the name uncultured bacterium. RNAcentral's name for it is "bacterial SSU rRNA". It matches the Rfam family "Bacterial small subunit ribosomal RNA", at positions 29 to 417 of the family's 1533-position model. The record is from RNAcentral.
AUUGAACGCUGGCGGAAUGCUUUACACAUGCAAGUCGAGCGGCAGCGCGGGGGCAACCCUGGCGGCGAGCGGCGAACGGGUGAGUAAUACAUCGGAACGUGUCCUUGAGUGGGGGAUAGCUCGGCGAAAGCCGGAUUAAUACCGCAUAAGCUCUGAGGAGGAAAGCGGGGGACUGGUAACGGCCUCGCGCUGUUGGAGCGGCCGAUGUCGGAUUAGCUAGUUGGUGGGGUAAAGGCCCACCAAGGCGACGAUCCGUAGCUGGUCUGAGAGGAUGAUCAGCCACACUGGAACUGAGACACGGUCCAGACUCCUACGGGAGGCAGCAGUGGGGAAUUUUGGACAAUGGGGGCAACCCUGAUCCAGCCAUUCCGCGUGAGUGAAGAAGGCCU